AUUUUUACCCCCUUCUACACAAUUAAUUGGAGAGAUUUGAAGAUUAAGAGGAGGAAAAAGAUGGAGCUCAUGGUAGCCAUGGCUUUCUUGAAGACAUUUCAUGGUGAAAAAUUAGAGCUUGUCUCUAAGGCCUUGGGGAGCCCGAGGCGUAGGUUGGGAUUAAUUUUAGUUGGGCAAACUUGGAGCGCGUACGAGGUACAGACGCACAGUUUGGUGAUCUACCCAUUUAGGACACCCUCUUCUGCUGUUUGGAGUGCUUUUCUCAUUUCAGAGCACACAUUUUGGUAUAUAUUCGUUCGCUAUGUAUAUAUGUAUUUGUUUAGGGGCACGGCGAGGCCCUGUCCCGCCAUAUGAUUCGGUUUGUCUGUUUAGAGGUCUGUAGACGUAUUUGUGGGUGUGUGUGCCUACUUCUGUACGGAUGUGUUUGCAUGACUCUAUUCGUUAUGGCAGCCUCGUCGGCGUGCAUUUUGUAUAUGUUGUGGCAGCCUUGUCGGCGUGCAUUUGUAUAUGCGUUUUGGGCCGUUGUGCCAUUUGACAGCCUUGUCGGCUUUUGACAUAUUUGAUAGCCUUGCCGACUUUUUGACAUCUAUACAUAUAUAUCCGCAUACGGUUGCGUUGAGAUGUGUUUGAACAGUUUGAUAUAGUUUGAGACGGCAUAUAGUAAUUAUGGCCGUAUAUGCUAUUUGUGUGUGAUCAAAUAUGGAUAGGUAUGUCAGGGUGCCCAAGUAGGGCGCCAGUCACGGCCUACGGGGUUGGGUCGUGACAGAAGUGGUAUCAGAGCGGUUUGUCCUCGGAAUGUCUA
Lycium barbarum (goji berry) is the source of this 802-nucleotide long non-coding RNA. RefSeq lists it as uncharacterized. The record is from RefSeq and is a predicted model, not a curated record. The transcript has 3 exons. Lineage: Eukaryota; Viridiplantae; Streptophyta; Magnoliopsida; Solanales; Solanaceae.